This is a long non-coding RNA of Ictalurus punctatus (channel catfish), 2564 nucleotides long. RefSeq lists it as uncharacterized. Lineage: Eukaryota; Metazoa; Chordata; Actinopteri; Siluriformes; Ictaluridae. The transcript is spliced from 3 exons. The record is from RefSeq and is a predicted model, not a curated record.
GGGACAGCUGAUCUCUUCAGACACCGGAGUUUGCGUGUGGUUUUGCGGGCGGUUUCUGUGAAGAAGUCCUGAUCAGAGAAAGAAACCCGUCACUGCCUGGGAGCAAGCGACUGGCCCAGGUCUGGAAAUGCUGCAUAAGAGGUACAAAAUAAAACCAAAGGUGUUAAAUAGUUUGUUGGUAAUACAUUUAAACCUGCUUGAGGAAUUCCAUAAGAGGAUAGCUUACAUCGUAAGUGUUGGAAUUUAUGUAUUAGCAGGAAAAUAGUCUUAUGGUCAUAAAAAUAUCGGAUGGAGCUGCUGUGAUUCCAAGAUCUGUGAAAAAGUCAGCGUGACAAUGUGAUUUGACAAACAAUGAAGAAAUCCGCCAUAUUUCUAUUCUCAAUCAGUAUUAACUGACUCCGUUAAAAGUGUUUCUCAGCAAUCCUUCAAAGUAAAUUGUGGCCACGCCCUCUGUUCCACUGGGGACACCUCAGUCAAGGCGACCAUGGUGCAGUUUCACGAGUGUUUAAAUCACGUCUUUCUCUUGAGUCAAACUCGAGUCAUGGUGUCGUUGCUUGUGGUUCUUCAGACUGACGUUGUGACUGAACGACUCUCCGCAUUGCUCACACGUGAAAGGUUUCUCUCCAGUGUGGACCCGCAUGUGGGAAGUGAGGUUUAAGAUCUGAUUGAAGGAACGCUCACACACUUGGCAUUUGAAAGGCUGUUCUCCAGAGUGGAUGACUUCCUGCCUUUUUAUCCUCAUGAUGUCAUUAAAGCCUUUCUCUCACACACAUUUACGUGGAGCUCGGUGGGAUACGACAUGGUUGUUGCGUUUGUGAAUACUGCUAAACUUCUCUGGACAGCGGUAUGGUUGACUUUCUUUAGGAUGAGUCUGCUCAUGUUCCAGUUUCGCAGACUUGGUUUUGAAGACCUUCAGACAGUAUUUACACGGGUGAUCGUAAUCCGAAUGGAGCUGAGUGUAGUGUGUCUUUAGACCACCCCCGGUGAGGAACCUUUUCCCGCACUCCGGACAGACGAUAAAUUUGGACUUGUGUUCACAUUUAUGUUCUUUUAAACCUCUGGAUUCAGGAUCUGCUGUAACAAACUUGCCACAGUCCUGACACAGUGUAUAGAAAGGUUUGGCUCCGUGCUCCUGUUCAGCAUGUUUCUGAAACCCGGCGACGUCAUCAAACCGAACAGGAAGUGAUUCAAUAUUACGUGUUUGAAUGUCGUCACCUGCACCGCACCGAGCGCAGCAGAACACCUUUUUGUGUCGAAGGACAGAACAGGAGAGCGAGGCCUCGGUCCCACAUUGUGUGCACCACACCACAAGGUUACCCUGACCGUCCUCCUUUAAAGCUGUGAACAGAUCUUCAUCCAUGGACACAUCGGAGUCUGUGGCCUCUUCAUCUGAACUGUCUUUACUUUUAGACUUCCUCUUUCGUUUCUUUUUCACUUCCUCUUCCUGCAGACUUGCUUCUUCAUCAUCACUAGAUAAAUAUGACCCGUCCUCUUCGAUAAACACCUGCUCACUGCACUCGUUAUCUGACGACACGAUCUGAACCACAACCUGCAGGAUCACAGAAAGCCUUCGUUAACAACACUUGGGGAUCAUGUCUGUGCAGGUUCGGCUGAAGGCGGGUGACUCCUCCAGUCUCUGUGGUGUCCACAACUCUGACAGUCCUGCGUGACUGAAAACAGCCUCUCGUUGCCCUCAACGGUAAUACAGCACUCUUUCUGACAACGCCAGCAGAACUGGAAAAGCUCCAGCAGACACUGUGUGUUCACAAUCACCUCACGACUCCUGCAAAAUGGAAAAAAAAAUAUAUAUACACAUAUACACAUAGACACACACACACACGUACACUACCGGUCAAAAGUUUAGACACACUCUUUCUUUAUUUUUAUUAUUUUUUCCACAUUUUAAAAUAAUAAUAAAGUCAUCUGGAGUAACACAAAUGGAACUAUAAUGGGAAUUAUGUUGUGAUAAAAAAUCCAAAAUGAAUCUAAAUAAUUUAGUAUUUUAUCAUCUUCAAAGUCGACGCCCUUACGCCUAGAAUAUCCAGAAAUGUAUUCUUGGCGUUUUCUCGUCCGAUUUCUUGAGGAAUUUCCCCGAGACGCUUUCUAAACAGUAUUAAAGGAGUUCACGCCGACGCCGGACUCUUAUCGGCUGCUUUUCGGAAAAUAUUUCUCUCCGAGUCGUCCGUUUAAAAAAUAUAUAUAUAUUUUUGUAAAUAAAAUGUUAGUUUUCUAAUGAACUAACACCGAUUUCAAACAUUUAAUCACACACCUUCUGAUCAAAAGGGUUUUAAGAUUACAAGAAACAUUUCAGUCGAGUGUCCACAAACUUUUGACUGGUGGCGUAUAGUUAUAUAUAUAUAUAUAAGAUAUAUAUAUAUAUCAUAUACCUACUCUAAGUAUGCCAUUAAUUUGUUGAAAUACUGGUAAGUAGCAGCAAAAGCUAAACCAGAAACAAAGACAAUAUAAUAUCAUGAUGUUUACUUUUAACAUUAACGUUUUUGAAAGCAGCUGAUUAGAAGUCGAAGUUUUGUACUGCUUUUGAAUUAUUAAAACUUAACAAUGCU